GGGUUGUGAGGUUAAGCGACUAAGCGUACACGGUGGAUGCCCUGGCAGUCAGAGGCGAUGAAGGACGUGCUAAUCUGCGAUAAGCGUCGGUAAGGUGAUAUGAACCGUUAUAACCGGCGAUUUCCGAAUGGGGAAACCCAGUGUGUUUCGACACACUAUCAUUAACUGAAUCCAUAGGUUAAUGAGGCGAACCGGGGGAACUGAAACAUCUAAGUACCCCGAGGAAAAGAAAUCAACCGAGAUUCCCCCAGUAGCGGCGAGCGAACGGGGAGCAGCCCAGAGCCUGAAUCAGUGUGUGUGUUAGUGGAAGCGUCUGGAAAGGCGCGCGAUACAGGGUGACAGCCCCGUACACAAAAAUGCACAUGCUGUGAGCUCGAUGAGUAGGGCGGGACACGUGGUAUCCUGUCUGAAUAUGGGGGGACCAUCCUCCAAGGCUAAAUACUCCUGACUGACCGAUAGUGAACCAGUACCGUGAGGGAAAGGCGAAAAGAACCCCGGCGAGGGGAGUGAAAAAGAACCUGAAACCGUGUACGUACAAGCAGUGGGAGCACGCUUAGGCGUGUGACUGCGUACCUUUUGUAUAAUGGGUCAGCGACUUAUAUUCUGUAGCAAGGUUAACCGAAUAGGGGAGCCGAAGGGAAACCGAGUCUUAACUGGGCGUUAAGUUGCAGGGUAUAGACCCGAAACCCGGUGAUCUAGCCAUGGGCAGGUUGAAGGUUGGGUAACACUAACUGGAGGACCGAACCGACUAAUGUUGAAAAAUUAGCGGAUGACUUGUGGCUGGGGGUGAAAGGCCAAUCAAACCGGGAGAUAGCUGGUUCUCCCCGAAAGCUAUUUAGGUAGCGCCUCGUGAAUUCAUCUCCGGGGGUAGAGCACUGUUUCGGCAAGGGGGUCAUCCCGACUUACCAACCCGAUGCAAACUGCGAAUACCGGAGAAUGUUAUCACGGGAGACACACGGCGGGUGCUAACGUCCGUCGUGAAGAGGGAAACAACCCAGACCGCCAGCUAAGGUCCCAAAGUCAUGGUUAAGUGGGAAACGAUGUGGGAAGGCCCAGACAGCCAGGAUGUUGGCUUAGAAGCAGCCAUCAUUUAAAGAAAGCGUAAUAGCUCACUGGUCGAGUCGGCCUGCGCGGAAGAUGUAACGGGGCUAAACCAUGCACCGAAGCUGCGGCAGCGACGCUUAUGCGUUGUUGGGUAGGGGAGCGUUCUGUAAGCCUGUGAAGGUGUACUGUGAGGUAUGCUGGAGGUAUCAGAAGUGCGAAUGCUGACAUAAGUAACGAUAAAGCGGGUGAAAAGCCCGCUCGCCGGAAGACCAAGGGUUCCUGUCCAACGUUAAUCGGGGCAGGGUGAGUCGACCCCUAAGGCGAGGCCGAAAGGCGUAGUCGAUGGGAAACAGGUUAAUAUUCCUGUACUUGGUGUUACUGCGAAGGGGGGACGGAGAAGGCUAUGUUGGCCGGGCGACGGUUGUCCCGGUUUAAGCGUGUAGGCUGGUUUUCCAGGCAAAUCCGGAAAAUCAAGGCUGAGGCGUGAUGACGAGGCACUACGGUGCUGAAGCAACAAAUGCCCUGCUUCCAGGAAAAGCCUCUAAGCAUCAGGUAACAUCAAAUCGUACCCCAAACCGACACAGGUGGUCAGGUAGAGAAUACCAAGGCGCUUGAGAGAACUCGGGUGAAGGAACUAGGCAAAAUGGUGCCGUAACUUCGGGAGAAGGCACGCUGAUAUGUAGGUGAAGUCCCUCGCGGAUGGAGCUGAAAUCAGUCGAAGAUACCAGCUGGCUGCAACUGUUUAUUAAAAACACAGCACUGUGCAAACACGAAAGUGGACGUAUACGGUGUGACGCCUGCCCGGUGCCGGAAGGUUAAUUGAUGGGGUUAGCGCAAGCGAAGCUCUUGAUCGAAGCCCCGGUAAACGGCGGCCGUAACUAUAACGGUCCUAAGGUAGCGAAAUUCCUUGUCGGGUAAGUUCCGACCUGCACGAAUGGCGUAAUGAUGGCCAGGCUGUCUCCACCCGAGACUCAGUGAAAUUGAACUCGCUGUGAAGAUGCAGUGUACCCGCGGCAAGACGGAAAGACCCCGUGAACCUUUACUAUAGCUUGACACUGAACAUUGAGCCUUGAUGUGUAGGAUAGGUGGGAGGCUUUGAAGUGUGGACGCCAGUCUGCAUGGAGCCGACCUUGAAAUACCACCCUUUAAUGUUUGAUGUUCUAACGUGGACCCGUAAUCCGGGUUGCGGACAGUGUCUGGUGGGUAGUUUGACUGGGGCGGUCUCCUCCUAAAGAGUAACGGAGGAGCACGAAGGUUGGCUAAUCCUGGUCGGACAUCAGGAGGUUAGUGCAAUGGCAUAAGCCAGCUUGACUGCGAGCGUGACGGCGCGAGCAGGUGCGAAAGCAGGUCAUAGUGAUCCGGUGGUUCUGAAUGGAAGGGCCAUCGCUCAACGGAUAAAAGGUACUCCGGGGAUAACAGGCUGAUACCGCCCAAGAGUUCAUAUCGACGGCGGUGUUUGGCACCUCGAUGUCGGCUCAUCACAUCCUGGGGCUGAAGUAGGUCCCAAGGGUAUGGCUGUUCGCCAUUUAAAGUGGUACGCGAGCUGGGUUUAGAACGUCGUGAGACAGUUCGGUCCCUAUCUGCCGUGGGCGCUGGAGAAUUGAGGGGGGCUGCUCCUAGUACGAGAGGACCGGAGUGGACGCAUCACUGGUGUUCGGGUUGUCAUGCCAAUGGCACUGCCCGGUAGCUAAAUGCGGAAGAGAUAAGUGCUGAAAGCAUCUAAGCACGAAACUUGCCCCGAGAUGAGUUCUCCCUGACCCUUUAAGGGUCCUGAAGGAACGUUGAAGACGACGACGUUGAUAGGCCGGGUGUGUAAGCGCAGCGAUGCGUUGAGCUAACCGGUACUAAUGAACCGUGAGGCUUAACCUUACAACGCCGAAG
This 2925-nucleotide ribosomal RNA is filed under the name Escherichia coli. RNAcentral describes it as "23S ribosomal RNA". It matches the Rfam family "Bacterial large subunit ribosomal RNA". Lineage: Bacteria; Pseudomonadati; Pseudomonadota; Gammaproteobacteria; Enterobacterales; Enterobacteriaceae. The record is from RNAcentral.